UUCCAUGAUGAUUUGUCCACAGUUUGAGAUUAGUUAGCUUCAAGCCCCUGUUUUCAGGGAGAACCUACUUGAGGCUGCUAAAUCAUAAUAUGAACUUACUGGACCGUUCUGAGAU
Small nucleolar RNA from Corylus avellana, 115 nucleotides. RefSeq annotates it as small nucleolar RNA Z278. The record is from RefSeq and is a predicted model, not a curated record. NCBI's taxonomy places the organism in Eukaryota, Viridiplantae, Streptophyta, Magnoliopsida, Fagales, Betulaceae.